AAUGAACGUUGGCGGCGUGGAUUAGGCAUGCAAGUCGCGCGAUGAAGCAGUGCUUGCACUGUGGAUUAGCGGCGAAAGGGAGAGUAACGCGUGGAUACGUACCCUCAGGUCCGGGAUAGCGGCGGGAAACUGCCGGUAAUACCGGAUAAUGUCUCCGGACCAAAGGUGUGAUUCCGCCGGAGGAGCGGUCCGCGUCCUAUUAGGUUGUUGGUGGGGUAAUGGCCUACCAAGCCGAAGAUGGUACCGGGUGGUGAGAGCAUGGCCCGGCUCACUGGGACUGAGACACUGCCCAGACACCUACGGGUGGCUGCAGUCGAGAAUCUUCCGCAAUGGGCGCAAGCCUGACGGAGCGACGCCGCGUGCGGGAUGAAGGCCUUCGGGUUGUAAACCGCUGUCAGAGAGGCGGAAAUGCCAUGGGGUUCUCCCCAUGGUUUGACCUAAUCUCAGAGGAAGUGCAGGCUAAGUUCGUG
RNAcentral lists this ribosomal RNA (470 nucleotides) under uncultured bacterium. RNAcentral describes it as "bacterial SSU rRNA". It matches the Rfam family "Bacterial small subunit ribosomal RNA", at positions 28 to 507 of the family's 1533-position model. The record is from RNAcentral.